UACAGAGGUCUCAAGCGUUGUUCGGAUUCAUUGGGCGUAAAGGGUGCGUAGGCGGUUUUGUAAGUCUUGUGUGAAAUCUUCAGGCUCAACUUGAAGACUGCACGAGAAACUGCAGGGCUUGAGUGUGGGAGAGGUGAGUGGAAUUCCUGGUGUAGCGGUGAAAUGCGUAGAUAUCAGGAGGAACACCUGUGGCGAAAGCGGCUCACUGGACCACAACUGACGCUGAUGCACGAAAGCUAGGGGAGCAAACAGG
This 253-nucleotide ribosomal RNA is filed under the name uncultured bacterium. Its description in RNAcentral is "partial 16S ribosomal RNA". It matches the Rfam family "Bacterial small subunit ribosomal RNA", at positions 524 to 776 of the family's 1533-position model. The record is from RNAcentral.